Molecule: ribosomal RNA, 499 nt
Filed under: uncultured bacterium
Lineage: Bacteria
Description: partial 16S ribosomal RNA
Rfam family: Bacterial small subunit ribosomal RNA
Source: RNAcentral
GACGAACGCUGGCGGCGUGCCUAAUACAUGCAAGUCGAGCGGACUUUCAAGAAGCUUGCUUUUUGAAAGUUAGCGGCGGACGGGUGAGUAACACGUGGGCAACCUGCCUGCAAGACGGGGAUAACUCCGGGAAACCGGGGCUAAUACCGGAUAAUAUCUUCCUUCGCAUGAAGGAAGGGUGAAAGGCGGCGCAAGCGACCGCUUGCAGCUGGGCCCGCGGCGCAUUAGCUCGUUGGUGAGGUAAAGGCUCACCAAGGCGACGAUGCGGAGCCGAGCUGAGAGGGUGAUCGGCCAAACUGGGACUGAGACACGGCCCAGACUCCUACGGGAGGCAGCAGUAGGGAAUCUUCCGCCAUGGACGAAAGUCUGACGGAGCAAAGCCGCGUGAGCGAAGAAGGUCUUCGGAUCGUAAAGCUCUGUUGUCAGGGAAGAACAAGUACCGUUCGAACAGGGCGGUACCUUGACGGUACCUGACCAGAAAGCCACGGCUAACUACGUG